This 445-nucleotide ribosomal RNA is filed under the name uncultured bacterium. Its description in RNAcentral is "partial 16S ribosomal RNA". It matches the Rfam family "Bacterial small subunit ribosomal RNA", at positions 354 to 796 of the family's 1533-position model. The record is from RNAcentral.
GUAGGGAAUAUUGGGCAAUGGAUGCAAGUCUGACCCAGCCAUCCCGCGUGCCGGAAGAAGGCCCUCAGGGUUGUAAACGGCUUUUGACGGUGAAGAAUCGACAGGAUGCGUCCUGUUUUGACGGUAGCCGUUGAAUAAGCACCGGCUAACUCCGUGCCAGCAGCCGCGGUAAUACGGAGGGUGCGAGCGUUGUCCGGAUUUAUUGGGUUUAAAGGGUGCGUAGGCUGGAAGGUCAGUCAGCGCUGAAAAGCUGUCGCUUAACGAUAGUCUUGCCGCAGAUACUUCCUUUCUUGGAUGAGGAGGAGGCCACUGGAACGGAUGGUGUAGCGGUGAAAUGCAUAGAUAUCAUCCAGAACACCGAUUGCGAAGGCAGGUGGCUGUACCUUAAUCGACGCUGAUGCACGAAAGCAUGGGGAGCAAACAGGAUUAGAAACCCGUGUAGUCC